GAAAGAACACCAAAUGCGAAGGCAACUUACUGGGUCACUACUGACACUGAGGAGCGAAAAGCAUGGGUAGCGAAGAGGAUUAGAUACCCUCGUAGUCCAUGCCGUAAACGAUGUGUGCUAGACGUUGGGAAUAAUUUUUCAGUGUCGCAGCGAAAAGCGUUAAGCACACCGCCUGGGGAGUACGACCGCAAGGUUAAAACUCAAAUGAAUUGACGGGGACCCGCACAAGCAGUGGAGCAUGUGGUUUAAUUCGAUGAUACGCGAGGAACCUUACCAGGGCUUAAAUGUAAGUUGCAUAGAUCAGAGAUGGUCUUUUCUUCGGACUACUUACAAGGUGCUGCAUGGUU
This 347-nucleotide ribosomal RNA is filed under the name uncultured bacterium. Its description in RNAcentral is "bacterial SSU rRNA". It matches the Rfam family "Bacterial small subunit ribosomal RNA", at positions 700 to 1050 of the family's 1533-position model. The record is from RNAcentral.